This 160-nucleotide unclassified non-coding RNA is filed under the name uncultured Biscogniauxia. Its description in RNAcentral is "sequence contains ITS2". Lineage: Eukaryota; Fungi; Ascomycota; Sordariomycetes; Xylariales; Xylariaceae. The record is from RNAcentral.
CAACCCCCAAGCCCUAUUUGCUUGACGUUGGGAGAUUACAGCCCUGCUGUAACUCCUUAAAUCUAGCGGCGGAGCUAGGUGUUGCUUCUAAGCGUAGUAAAUCUCAUUCUCGCUUCUGGAGCUACCCUGUAUCUUGCCGUAAAACCCCCAAUUUUCUAGU